RNAcentral lists this long non-coding RNA (221 nucleotides) under Elaeis guineensis (African oil palm). Its description in RNAcentral is "long non-coding RNA (EGUI_LNC027995)". Lineage: Eukaryota; Viridiplantae; Streptophyta; Magnoliopsida; Arecales; Arecaceae. The record is from RNAcentral.
UCCUUCUCCUCAUAGCAUUUACUCUAUAAUAUUCAGUGAAAAAAAUUUUGAAACUUCAUUAGUGUGCCACUUCGUAAGUCUUGCCACAUUUAUGAAGGAUAGAUGGCUCGAGAUAUUGCAGUAUAAUGAUUUAAAAAAGAAGAUCCAGAGAUCAUUUUCAGAUCCAUCAAGGUUUGCCACAUGUCGGAUGUUGAUAGGCCCCAUAUUGUGCCUCAUAGAUC